GAUGAAGAACGCAGCGAAAUGCGAUAAGUAAUGUGAAUUGCAGAAUUCAGUGAAUCAUCGAAUCUUUGAACGCACAUUGCGCCCGCCAGUAUUCUGGCGGGCAUGCCUGUCCGAGCAUCAUUUCAACCCUCGAACCCCUCCGGGGGGUCGGCGUUGGGGAUCGGGAACCCCUAAGACGGGAUCCCGGCCCCGAAAUACAGUGGCGGUCUCGCCGCAGCCUCUCCUGCGCAGUAGUUUGCACAACUCGCACCGGGAGCGCGGCGCGUCCACGUCCGUAAAACACCCAACUUUCUGAAAUGUUGACCUCGGAUCAGGUAGGAAUACCCGCUGAACUUAAGCAUAUCAAUAAGCGGAGGA
Molecule: unclassified non-coding RNA, 357 nt
Filed under: soil metagenome
Description: partial contains 5.8S ribosomal RNA, internal transcribed spacer 2, and large subunit ribosomal RNA
Rfam family: 5.8S ribosomal RNA (bases 1-120)
Source: RNAcentral